This 483-nucleotide long non-coding RNA is filed under the name Phoenix dactylifera (date palm). RNAcentral describes it as "long non-coding RNA (PDAC_LNC013719)". The record is from RNAcentral. Lineage: Eukaryota; Viridiplantae; Streptophyta; Magnoliopsida; Arecales; Arecaceae.
UUCCAGUGGAUUGCUUAAGGCUGUAGCACUCGGUUGCCUAAUACAGGAAUUUGAAACUCAGAAUGAGUUUCCAAUUUCACACAUCUGGAAGUGCGUGUCAUCUUUUUCCUUGAUUCUUUUGACCAUCUGACGACGAUUUUGCUGUGUUUUAUGUAUUCGUUGGAGAAGGAAUAAAGAGUGUAACUCUGUGUAGUUGAAAGAGUGAUCAGGUUGGUAUGUGGAAAACUUUCUGUGUCGGCCUUUAACAAUUUAUGAAUAAUGCCAUCAAUUUUACUAUGAGAUCAUCCGGAUAAAGCGAUGUUGGCGAUGUUGAACUCUGACACUCACUUCUUUCUGAAGUUUCAUGCACUGUGGAGUAUUGUGCUUGUUAUCACAAUGUGACCAAGCUUGGUUCUGCAUAGGCUGUGUUCUUGUUACAUUUUGAUCAACAUAUUUCGACAUUAUUGAAUCAGUUUAGUGUUGGUGGGCCGAAAAAAACAAAAA